CCUACGGGAGGCUGCAGUGAGGAAUAUUGGUCAAUGGACGAGAGUCUGAACCAGCCAAGUAGCGUGAAGGAUGACUGCCCUAUGGGUUGUAAACUUCUUUUAUAAAGGAAUAAAACGAGGCACGUGUGCCUUUUUGCAUGUACUUUAUGAAUAAGGAUCGGCUAACUCCGUGCCAGCAGCCGCGGUAAUACGGAGGAUCCGAGCGUUAUCCGGAUUUAUUGGGUUUAAAGGGAGCGUAGAUGGGUUGUUAAGUCAGUUGUGAAAGUUUGCGGCUCAACCGUAAAAUUGCAAUUGAUACUGGCAGUCGUGAGUACAGUUGAGGUAAGCGGAAUUCGUGGUGUAGCGGUGAAAUGCUUAGAUAUCACGAAGAACCCCGAUUGCGAAGGCAGCUUACUAAACUGUGACUGACAUUGAUGCUCGAAAGUGUGGGUAUCAAACAGGAGUAGAUACCCGGGUAGUC
This 460-nucleotide ribosomal RNA is filed under the name uncultured bacterium. RNAcentral's name for it is "partial 16S ribosomal RNA". It matches the Rfam family "Bacterial small subunit ribosomal RNA", at positions 338 to 795 of the family's 1533-position model. The record is from RNAcentral.